AUACGGAGGACGCGAGCGUUAUCCGGAUUCAUUGGGUUUAAAGGGUGCGCAGGCGGCCGUGCAAGUCAGCGGUGAAAGCCCGGGGCUCAACCCCGGAAGUGCCGUUGAUACUGCAUGGCUGGAAUGCGGUCGAGGCGGGCGGAACGUGGCGUGUAGCGGGGAAAUGCGUAGAUAUGCCACAGAACGCCGAUAGCGGAGGCAGCUCGCCAGGCCUGCAUUGACGCUCGGGCACGAAAGCGUGGGGAUCGAACAGGAUUAGAUACCCUGGUAGUCCACGCCGUAAACGAUGGGCGCUCGUCGUCGGCGACAGACAGUCGGCGGCCAAGCGAAAGCGAUAAGCGCCCCACCUGGGGAGUACGGUCGCAAGGCUGAAACUUAAAGGAAUUGACGGGG
This 393-nucleotide ribosomal RNA is filed under the name uncultured bacterium. RNAcentral's name for it is "partial 16S ribosomal RNA". It matches the Rfam family "Bacterial small subunit ribosomal RNA", at positions 523 to 918 of the family's 1533-position model. The record is from RNAcentral.